UCCGGCUUAUCACCGGCGGUUUCUUUAGAGUGCCCAACUAAAUGAUGGCAACUAAAGACGAGGGUUGCGCUCGUUGCGGGACUUAACCCAACAUCUCACGACACGAGCUGACGACAGCCAUGCAGCACCUGUGUUCCGAUUCCCUUUCGGGCACACCCACCUCUCAGCGGGCUUCCGGACAUGUCAAGGGUAGGUAAGGUUGUUCGCGUUGCAUCGAAUUAAUCCACAUCAUCCACCGCUUGUGCGGGUCCCCGUCAAUUCCUUUGAGUUUUAACCUUGCGGCCGUACUCCCCAGGCGGGCAACUUCACGCGUUAGCUACGGUACUGAGAAAUCGCUUCCCCAACACCCAGUUGCCAUCGUUUAGGGCGUGGACUAC
This 377-nucleotide unclassified non-coding RNA is filed under the name uncultured Gammaproteobacteria bacterium. RNAcentral describes it as "contains 16S-23S intergenic spacer region". The record is from RNAcentral. Lineage: Bacteria; Pseudomonadati; Pseudomonadota; Gammaproteobacteria.